UACGGAGGGUGCAAACGUUGCUCGGAAUUAUUGGGCGUAAAGCGCACGUAGGCGGCUCGUUAAGUCGGAUGUGAAAUCCCUCGGCUCAACCGAGGAAGUGCAUCCGAAACUGGCGAGCUUGAGUACGGAAGAGGGUCUCGGAAUUCCCGGUGUAGAGGUGAAAUUCGUAGAUAUCGGGAGGAACACCAGUGGCGAAGGCGGAGACCUGGGCCGAUACUGACGCUGAGGUGCGAAAGCGUGGGGAGCAAACAGG
Molecule: ribosomal RNA, 253 nt
Filed under: uncultured bacterium
Lineage: Bacteria
Description: partial 16S ribosomal RNA
Rfam family: Bacterial small subunit ribosomal RNA
Source: RNAcentral